CCUACGGGUGGCAGCAGUGGGGAAUAUUGGACAAUGGGCGAAAGCCUGAUCCAGCCAUGCCGCGUGUGUGAAGAAGGCCUUCGGGUUGUAAAGCACUUUCAGUGGGGAAGAAAGCCUUGGGGCUAAUACCCUCGAGGAAGGACAUCACCCACAGAAGAAGCACCGGCUAACUCCGUGCCAGCAGCCGCGGUAAUACGGAGGGUGCGAGCGUUAAUCGGAAUUACUGGGCGUAAAGCGCGCGUAGGCGGUCUGAUAAGCCGGUUGUGAAAGCCCCGGGCUCAACCUGGGAACGGCAUCCGGAACUGUCAGGCUAGAGUGCAGGAGAGGAAGGUAGAAUUCCCGGUGUAGCGGUGAAAUGCGUAGAGAUCGGGAGGAAUACCAGUGGCGAAGGCGGCCUUCUGGACUUACACUGACGCUGAGGUGCGAAAGCGUGGGUAGCAAACAGGAUUAGAUACCCCUGUAGUC
This 465-nucleotide ribosomal RNA is filed under the name Vreelandella stevensii. RNAcentral describes it as "partial 16S ribosomal RNA". It matches the Rfam family "Bacterial small subunit ribosomal RNA", at positions 338 to 795 of the family's 1533-position model. Lineage: Bacteria; Pseudomonadati; Pseudomonadota; Gammaproteobacteria; Oceanospirillales; Halomonadaceae. The record is from RNAcentral.